This 253-nucleotide ribosomal RNA is filed under the name uncultured bacterium. RNAcentral's name for it is "partial 16S ribosomal RNA". It matches the Rfam family "Bacterial small subunit ribosomal RNA", at positions 524 to 776 of the family's 1533-position model. The record is from RNAcentral.
UACGGAGGGUGCAAGCGUUAUCCGGAUUCACUGGGCUUAAAGGGUGCGUAGGCGGUCUUUUAAGUCAGUGCUGAAAUACUCCAGCUUAACUGGAGGGGUGGCAUUGAUACUGGAAGACUUGAGUAUAGUUGAGGUAGGCGGAAUUGACGGUGUAGCGGUGAAAUGCUUAGAUAUCGUCAAGAACACCGAUAGUGAAGACAGCUUACUAAGCUAUAACUGACGCUGAGGCACGAAAGUGUGGGGAGCAAACAGG